UCAUUCUGUCAGUUGAUACCACGGAAAUGAUUCUGAUCUGUGCUCCCUUGUAGAUUGGGAUGCUAGAAAUGUUUUUCUGGCACCUUGGCUGGAAGAUAGAUUGGAUCCAGAUGUGUCUGCCGAGGGGAAUUUUCCAGCUCCUGGGCUGGAUGAAGCACGCAAGCCCGACUACCAUGGCAGGGGUCCUCCAACAGGACAGACCCACGCUAAAGGAGAAAAUGAAUCCCUGACGCCUUCUGAACUUGUGGACCAGAUGCUGAAUGAUCUGGAGAGACGUGAAAUGAAAGGACAGCCUGUGCAAAAGGAAGCAUCUCAUGGAGGAAGCAGUGGUUCCGUGCCAGCCUCGGCUGCAGAAAGGGAGGCCAUGCCAGAUUGGGAUCCUGAUAUGGAUUAUUUGGAAGUCCUGGUGCAUAACCAUUUUAAGUCCUUGGAGGAUGCUGGAGGCAAGUUCAGUGUGACUUUCCUGACAGAAUAAUC
Long non-coding RNA from Passer domesticus (house sparrow), 477 nucleotides. RefSeq lists it as uncharacterized. The transcript is spliced from 5 exons. The record is from RefSeq and is a predicted model, not a curated record. Lineage: Eukaryota; Metazoa; Chordata; Aves; Passeriformes; Passeridae.